RNAcentral lists this ribosomal RNA (466 nucleotides) under uncultured bacterium. RNAcentral describes it as "partial 16S ribosomal RNA". It matches the Rfam family "Bacterial small subunit ribosomal RNA", at positions 28 to 507 of the family's 1533-position model. The record is from RNAcentral.
GACGAACGCUGGCGGCGCGCCUAACACAUGCAAGUCGAACGAGCGAGAGAGAGCUUGCUUUCUCAAGCGAGUGGCGAACGGGUGAGUAACGCGUGAGGAACCUGCCUCAAAGAGGGGGACAACAGUUGGAAACGACUGCUAAUACCGCAUAAGCCCACGACCCGGCAUCGGGUAGAGGGAAAAGGAGCAAUCCGCUUUGAGAUGGCCUCGCGUCCGAUUAGCUAGUUGGUGAGGUAACGGCCCACCAAGGCGACGAUCGGUAGCCGGACUGAGAGGUUGAACGGCCACAUUGGGACUGAGACACGGCCCAGACUCCUACGGGAGGCAGCAGUGGGGAAUAUUGCACAAUGGAGGAAACCCUGAUGCAGCGACGCCGCGUGGAGGAAGAAGGUCUUCGGAUUGUAAACUCCUGUUGUUGAGGAAGAUAAUGACGGUACUCAACAAGGAAGUGACGGCUAACUACGUG